This 717-nucleotide long non-coding RNA is filed under the name Nicotiana benthamiana. RNAcentral's name for it is "long non-coding RNA (NBEN_LNC008032)". Lineage: Eukaryota; Viridiplantae; Streptophyta; Magnoliopsida; Solanales; Solanaceae. The record is from RNAcentral.
UUUUCUUCUUCGUUGUAACUCAGAUCGAAGAUUAGUAUUGAUAUUAGUAUAAGGUUCUAUGUGGGCUUUUGUCCUUUUUGUUAUACUUUGAACCAUUACUUGGAUGUCUUCAAUUGUAAUAUUCCCUAUUUAAGUUUCCUCCCUCUUUUUCUUCUUCUUCUUCUUCUUCUUCUUCUCCUCCUCCUCCUCCUCCUUCGUCUAUGUGUGAUUCACUAGUUCAAGUUUCAAAUACUUGAAUUUGUGCUAUUUUCUUUUGAUAAUAAAUUAUUUUCUCUUUAAAUCGUUUAAUUUAACGUCUUCCAUUAUCCGUGAUCUUACAAAAUCUCUGCUCAAGAUCAGUCCAAAUAUAAAUUAUUGUUCUAGAAUACAUCACAAACUUAGCAAUCCCUUUUGAUAAAGAGGUCAGCAAUUAAGAAGUUACCAUGUCGUUGAUCGGUUGUAUGGUUGAAAAUUCCUUUGAAGUGAUUGUUGGAGCUACACAAAUCUCAUUUAUGAAUCUCAAUUUGUUUUUGGAUUACAAGGCUAUGAGCAUAGAUAUUAACAUGCCUGAAAACCUCUUCUAUCAAAGUGGGAGUUCAUCAGAUUUAUUCCAAGUGCAUCAGAUGAUGUAAAAAAAACGCAUGAUUGAGGUCAUGUCGUGCUACAGUUUUCGGAGUUAUAUGGUAUGAUUAUUUUAAGAGAUAACAAAAACAAGAGUAAAAGAAAGAUGAAGAUGAG